UGUUUUCACGAAGUGACGGUAGUGAGGAAAAUCGCAUACAUUUUCACUUUUGAUUUUUUUGCAUUUUUGGACAUCAUUCACUAACAUCUUGAACCUCACAAAAUUUCAGAUCAUAAUAAUGUCUAAUUAUGUCACUAUGACGAUGACGUAAACAAGAAAAUGCAUAGCAAAAGGAUUUUCUGUUUUCACGAAGUGACGGCCAAGUACGCGCUUAACAGCCGUCAAUUCGUGAAAACAUCGUUUGCUCUUUUCCUGCUUUUAAUAUUUUCACGAAGUGACGGUAGUGAAAAUUUCGCAGUUUGGAACAGUCACAGACCAUGAAAAGUUUCAGAUGCAGUAGAUACAAUUUGCACUUAUAUGAAGAAAGCACUGGGAAAGUACAUCUACUUUUCAAGAAUGCCACAGGCCAGACACAAAUCCAGAUUGGAUACAGGGACCGACAUGCUGGUAAGAUGGGUCCUUGAUAAUUCACUGAACACAGAGCUGCAGAUGUGACUCGGCAUAGUGACCUAAGAGUGGGAGCGGUAUGGAACCGUUGAAGCAAUUCACCGAACACUGUUGAAGCAAUUCACCGAACACAGUCAGAGCUGCAUGUGUGACUUGGCAUGGUGACCCUUAAAGUCUCCUGACGGCUCCGAUUGCGAUUCUGAUGAUGACCCAUUGUCUAUGCUUGUGAGCGAGUCAAAAGCAGUCUAGAUCAAGGAUCUUCUCUGCUUCAACCAAUAUCGCUUGGAUGACAUUAUGUGUGAAGAAACUUGAAGAACUUGUGUUGAAGGGCAUGCUUGAGAAACUAGAAUCAAUUACAUUGAUCGUUUUGGCAAUGCUUCAAUGUUUCAAUACCUCGAUCUCUCUUUUAUACUGUAUGAUUUUAAACAUUUUGAAUAUCAUAAAUAAAGCAAACUCCACUCAUAAUUGUAAUUGUGUGUACUAGUAAUCACAAUGAAAUGGAUUGAUUAUAAAAUCAAUGAAUUGAUUUAAAGCAAACUGGUAACAUUUUCCAUGAGUUCUGAAACAAUUAACUGAAUGGUCGUACAGGCGUCAGUUUUCUGUUACAGUAUUGUAAUGAACUCCUGCAAACAUAAAUCUUUAAUAUUUAAAUGUAUAGCUCAGAACUGCUAUUUAUCAGGUAUACCUACCUCAAUCAGUAAUGCAUAUUAGAGUUUUCGAUUCCAGUUCCAUGAAUCCUCAUAUCGUAUCUUUGUAUUGAAGAAUUUGUUUAUCCAUUUUCUUUAAAUGUUUGUAU
Molecule: long non-coding RNA, 1243 nt
Organism: Strongylocentrotus purpuratus (purple sea urchin)
Lineage: Eukaryota; Metazoa; Echinodermata; Echinoidea; Camarodonta; Strongylocentrotidae
Exons: 4
Source: RefSeq, a predicted model, not a curated record